Molecule: microRNA precursor, 69 nt
Filed under: Notamacropus eugenii (tammar wallaby)
Lineage: Eukaryota; Metazoa; Chordata; Mammalia; Diprotodontia; Macropodidae
Description: miRNA (ENSMEUG00000017042.1)
Source: RNAcentral
AUAUGUGUGUACAUAUGUAUGUGUACAUGUGCGUGUAUAUAUGCAUAUGUAUGUAUGUAUGUAUGUAUA